UACGGGGGGGGCAAGCGUUGUUCGGAAUUACUGGGCGUAAAGGGCUCGUAGGCGGCCAACUAAGUCGGAUGUGAAAUCCCCAGGCUCAACUUGGGAACUGCAUCCGAUACUGGAUGGCUUGAAUUCGGGAGAGGGAUGCAGAAUUCCAGGUGUAGCGGUGAAAUGCGUAGAUAUCUGGAGGAAUACCGGUGGCGAAGGCGGCAUCCUGGACCGACAUUGACGCUGAGGAGCGAAAGCUAGGGGAGCGAACGGG
Molecule: ribosomal RNA, 253 nt
Filed under: uncultured bacterium
Lineage: Bacteria
Description: partial 16S ribosomal RNA
Rfam family: Bacterial small subunit ribosomal RNA
Source: RNAcentral